AAUAGAUACCCUGGUAGUCCACGCCGUAAACGAUGAGUGCUAAGUGUUAGAGGGUUUCCGCCCUUUAGUGCUGCAGCUAACGCAUUAAGCACUCCGCCUGGGGAGUACGGCCGCAAGGCUGAAACUCAAAGGAAUUGACGGGGGCCCGCACGAGCGGUGGAGCAUGUGGUUUAAUUCGAAGCAACGCGAAGAACCUUACCAGGUCUUGACAUCCUCUGACAACCCUAGAGAUAGGGCUUUCCCCUUCGGGGGACAGAGUGACAGGUGGUGCAUGGUUGUCGUCAGCUCGUGUCGUGAGAUGUUGGGUUAAGUCCCGCAACGAGCGCAACCCUUGAUCUUAGUUGCCAGCAUUCAGUUGGGCACUCUAAGGUGACUGCCGGUGACAAACCGGAGGAAGGUGGGGAUGACGUCAAAUCAUCAUGCCCCUUAUGACCUGGGCUACACACGUGCUACAAUGGAUGGUACAAAGGGCUGCAAACCUGCGAAGGUAAGCGAAUCCCAUAAAGCCAUUCUCAGUUCGGAUUGCAGG
This 529-nucleotide ribosomal RNA is filed under the name uncultured bacterium. RNAcentral describes it as "bacterial SSU rRNA". It matches the Rfam family "Bacterial small subunit ribosomal RNA", at positions 777 to 1304 of the family's 1533-position model. The record is from RNAcentral.